Molecule: ribosomal RNA, 460 nt
Filed under: uncultured bacterium
Lineage: Bacteria
Description: partial 16S ribosomal RNA
Rfam family: Bacterial small subunit ribosomal RNA
Source: RNAcentral
CCUACGGGAGGCAGCAGUGAGGAAUAUUGGUCAAUGGACGAGAGUCUGAACCAGCCAAGUAGCGUGAAGGAUGAAUGCCCUAUGGGUUGUAAACUUCUUUUAUAUGGGAAUAAAAUGUUCCACGUGUGGGAUUUUGUAUGUACCAUAUGAAUAAGGAUUGGCUAACUCCGUGCCAGCAGCCGCGGUAAUACGGAGGAUCCGAGCGUUAUCCGGAUUUAUUGGGUUUAAAGGGAGCGUAGGUGGUUUGUUAAGUCAGUUGUGAAAGUUUGCGGCUCAACCGUAAAAUUGCAGUUGAAACUGGCAGUCGUGAGUACAGUAGAGGUGGGCGGAAUUCGUGGUGUAGCGGUGAAAUGCUUAGAUAUCACGAAGAACUCCGAUUGCGAAGGCAGCUCACUGGACUGCAACUGACACUGAGGCUCGAAAGUGUGGGUAUCAAACAGGAUUAGAUACCCGUGUAGUC